This 253-nucleotide ribosomal RNA is filed under the name uncultured bacterium. RNAcentral describes it as "partial 16S ribosomal RNA". It matches the Rfam family "Bacterial small subunit ribosomal RNA", at positions 524 to 776 of the family's 1533-position model. The record is from RNAcentral.
GACAGAGGGUGCAAACGUUGUUCGGAAUUACUGGGCGUAAAGCGCGUGUAGGCGGCUAUGCAAGUCGGGCGUGAAAUCCCACGGCUCAACCGUGGAAGUGCACUCGAAACUGCGUAGCUAGAGUCCUGGAGAGGAAGGUGGAAUACUUGGUGUAGAGGUGAAAUUCGUAGAUAUCAAGUGGAACACCGGUGGCGAAGGCGGCCUUCUGGACAGUGACUGACGCUGAGACGCGAAAGCGUGGGGAGCAAACAGG